RNAcentral lists this long non-coding RNA (222 nucleotides) under Mustela putorius furo (domestic ferret). RNAcentral describes it as "lncRNA (ENSMPUG00000028302.1)". The record is from RNAcentral. Lineage: Eukaryota; Metazoa; Chordata; Mammalia; Carnivora; Mustelidae.
CUGGUUGCCUGGAGAGACUUUGCAUCAAGCAAGGAGCGCUGUUACCUUCUGUGGACUCACUGAGAAACUCCUCAGAAGCAAGGUUGUCAAGGCAAGUGAGGAGAAGAGAAAACCUGGCCUUCUGGAGGGCCAGCAGCAAACAAGAGCUUCGUCUUUCCACUUAGGAAAAUGCACUGUGCACAUGGCUGGGGCCUUCAACACGCAUCUGUUUGACAAGCCUGG